Molecule: long non-coding RNA, 2471 nt
Organism: Monodelphis domestica (gray short-tailed opossum)
Lineage: Eukaryota; Metazoa; Chordata; Mammalia; Didelphimorphia; Didelphidae
Source: Ensembl
CUUCCUGUUUCUUCCUUCCCAACUGUCUUGAUGGAGAUUUUCUCACAAAUGAUAGAUGUGAUGUCAGAUGAAGAACAUUGUACUUAUGGCCAGGAGACUGGAUUUCAAUCAUCACUUUGCUACUUACUGCCUACGUAACCUUGGAAAGUCACUCAAGGAAACUGAAACCCCAGAAUUUAUCCUCAAAAUGAUACUCUACUCCACGGAAGAUAUUGCUGUUACUAUGAAGAUUUUCAAUAGCUGCCUAACUCCCAGGAAUAAAUGUCUGGCCAUCAUCCUCUCAGGGAGCUUGUUGGAGGAAGGGAGAUGGGUGCACAGAAGUCUCCUUCCUUGGUGGAAGCAUAGACAUGAGGAAGCUACUAUUAAACUUCUACACCCCAGUAGAAGACAAGUAUAGAACUUGCAGCUGAAUAUGUUCCUGCCACGUUUCUCCAAGGCUUUUCAGCAAAGCCUCUUGACUCAGCUCGAUCCUGUUGCCUGCUUGCCUGCUAUCUGCUCCUGCCUGCAGCCAUCUGCUCUGCACCUUCUUGAUUCAGAUUGCUCACCUGGUCCCAGUCCUGCCCGCCCACCCGGCUCCUGUUGCCUGUUUCUGAGCUCCAGCAAUCCAGACCUGCUUGACCCAGAUCGCUCUCCGGGUCCCAACCCGGCCCAGCCCCAGCAACUGCAGCCUCUGAGACAGAUCACCCCAGCCCAGCCCCAGGACCCAGGCUGCUAGUAGCUGUCCUAAUUUCUUCAGGACUCACAAACACCAGCUGGUAAAAAUGGGGUUGAUAUUUCCUUAGGCUAUAAUUAGCAUCCACGUGGUGGCAGGGGACCAUAGGUGGGGAGAAAGAGGAGAAGAAAGAGACUUCCAAAUAGGAAGUUACAAGCAUGGCUUAUUUAAAAGAAUAUCUUUUGAGUACACUGAUUUUGUUACUUAUCUCACCUGAGAUUCAGGGGGAAAAUUCAGCUCCCUGCAACUCUUUGGCCCAAUUUGAGAUUCCUAAAACCCACCCUCACUCUGGGUGACCAGAUCAGUGGCUCAAUGGAUUGAGAGCCAGGCUUAGAGAUGGGAAGGCCUGGGUUCUAAUCUGGCCUCAGUCACUUCCUAACUAUGUGACCUAGGGCAAGUCACUUGAACCCCAUCACCUACCCCAUACCAAUCUUCUGCCAUCUGACAAUAGGCAUCUAAAUGGAUUUAAAAAAUGAACUUUAAAGAGACUGGAGGUUAUAUUUUUAAGGCAUUUUUAAACUCCAAUGUUUUAUAAAAACCUCUGUGUUUUAUUGCAUUUUACUGAUUGUUUUGUUUAAGAUUUAAUUUUGUUGGUUUUAAGUUCAUAUAUUAAUGUAUUCAAUACUAUUCUGUUACAAUGAAUCAUUUUAAUGUACUGGGUUUUAACUACUGUUAUAUUCUGUUGCUUUUCCCCUAUAACUAAACUGAACAAAUAUUAUUACAUAAGCCCAUAUAUGAAAACAGCCCUUUUCUAUUUUUGGCUUUGUAAAUUGUCAUCUAAAGGAUGGAUAGACUUCAUAAAAAAAACUGGUUACAAUUAUAUAACAACCUUCGGAAAAUUUAAUGAGCUAAAUAUCUCAAACUGAUUUUAAAGGUGUCUUUUAGCCAUGACUUUUAGAUUUUUCUCCCAACAACUCUGGUCAUUUUGCCUGUUUCUAACAGGAGGUAAGGUCUAUUUUAGUAGCUGAAGUAAAAUACAAUUAUAAUCCCCACCUCCCACAUUUAUAAAAAUGUGAAUGGAUGGGACUUCACAAUCUCAUACUAAAGGAGCUGGGAAGUUAAUCCCAGGGCACUAUACCCCUCUGGAUGACUCUCAAAAGCAGAGCAUGUCUCAUUUAUAAUUCUUUAGCUCACUUUACCCAACAUCAACAGUUCAGAGGUUUGAGUUUUUCCUAGAUUCCUCUGCCACAUUUUUAAUGAAAUCUAGAUUUCUUGAUUACCCAAAUAAGUUUUACAUUGUUUAAAAAUCUGUUUGCCAAGGUUGAAACAUUGCUAUACCUGAAAAACUUGUGACAAGUAUUCAUUUUCUUUAAAUAUCAAUCAGUAGACUUAUAUAAAAUAUGAUAGUGGGUUUGCUUGCUAUUGUAUUUAAUUGGGGUAUUGAGAAUGUUGGGGAUAUUGAUACCUACAUAUUUGUACUACUGUUCUUUAUUAAAAAAAUUGUUACCUUGUUAAAUUCAUUUGCUUGUACUCACAGUGGAUCAUGGCCAGGUAUGAAGAGGAAAUGGAUCUCAUUUUUGGUGAGAAACCUUGUAUUCUAUAUUUCCUUAGCUGACACAGUGUGUCAGAUUAUAAGCAGUAUUUUUUAAUUUAAAAACACUUUUAUUAUUAUAUUUUUCUUGAAUGUGCAAUAUACUAUUUCACUCUCAUUUUUUCUCUCCUUUUUAUAUUUGAAGCACAUGUCACCAGUAGUAAGAUUUUCUUUAACUUUUUUGAUUUAGCAGUAAUAAAAGUUUAGAAUACAUUUGCUAUGAUGUCA